RNA transcript from Eublepharis macularius, 9229 nucleotides. It is a transcript of the gene named pyruvate dehydrogenase complex component X, with no coding region annotated. NCBI's taxonomy places the organism in Eukaryota, Metazoa, Chordata, Lepidosauria, Squamata, Eublepharidae. The transcript is spliced from 4 exons. The record is from RefSeq and is a predicted model, not a curated record.
UUUAUGAGUAGAAUAGUAAGCACGUAGAAUUGCAACCAAGUGUAUGGUGUGCCUCAAAAAAACUUCCACAUAAUUUCUUCAGGAUACAUUCAAGCUGCUUCUCUGCUGGAUAUGAAACAUCUGGGAUAAUGUCCCAUUCCACAGGAAUUACGGUAUCUUACUUUGUUUCCUGGCAAGAAUUCAGGGAUUUUAAUUGCGAUUAAAGUCAACAAAUACAUUUCGUUUCUGCCCUAUGUUUAUUUAAAGUUCCUAAGAGAGAGAUUAAUUUUUAGUGCCAUUGUCAUCCAAAAAAAGAGGAUAAUACUAAUUCUCAAAGGAAAAUAAUACCCCUUUUUGGCAAGUUCUAGGUUUUCUCAUUAUUGUGUAUUUUGCUUACUAUUUUAAAAGCAUUUUGCUCUUUGUAUUUUUAUUUUCUUUUUUGAAGGAGCUGCUGAAUAUUUGACAUGGUAGAGUCCUGCCCAGGUGCUUUCUUGUAUAGUCAUCCAUAUAGACAGUUUGAAAUGAUGACAGUAUAAUUACUGGCAAAUUGUCUUUAAAUGGUUGAACCACCUGUUACUAAAUUCCUCACAUGGAAUAUAGAUGGCUACAAUGAAAUGAAAUAUUUAUGUUUAUUAUCUAGCUGCUGCAAAAGAUUAUUUUGCAACCAGUAGAUGAGGUGUGAUGGGACAAAACAACCCAGGUUAAUAUUUUGAUCUCUUGAAGAGUAUGUUUGUUUUGCACACAUUCAUAUUUCUUUAAAGGCUAAAAACAAUAGCUCCACAAAACCUGUAUGUCAAGGAGUUUCAUAAAAGCAAGGGCUCUCCUUGUCAGGAAUAAUUUGUGCUUGUUCUCAUUCCACAGAUGACACCAAAGAGAAUAAAAUUAUUUGGAUUUUUUUCAAUCCAAGUAUUAGGUAGUAUAGAUAUUUCUCUUGCUCAUAAGAUUUUUUCAUAUAUAGUAUGUAGGAGGAGGUGAUCUUGAUGGAGGGAUUUGUGCACGCAUGUGUAGUAAAAUAUCUUAAUCCUCUUAUCAAGACUAAUAUUGGUUGUUGAACAUAGACAUGUAUUACCGCUCUCAGUUUUGCCGUGACCUAAUUCCUUACGCACUAGAAUUCCUCUACUAGAUCCUGUGUGUUGUUGCCUUAUCAGAGAGAAGUAUGGUAUUAGACUAUGGGUUAGAUCCAACAAACCACUCUCUUGCAAGAAUCACGGAUCUUCCUUAAUUUCUCUUCCCCUCAGCAGUCCCUUCUGACUCCAGGAGAGUUGAUUUCUGGGGCUGCAGAACCUGUGUGCAGUAAUAGCCACCUGAGUUGGUGGGCUGCAGUGAGGAUGGGAGGGGAAGCUCCCUUGUCCCUUUCCCCUCAUCAUCAUUGCAGUACAUCCGUGAAGGUCCAUAACAGUGAGAAGAGUCAUUAGAUACAAAUAAGUAACUUAAUAAAUCUGUUCUUGUCUAUGUCACCAUGAAUUUAGUUUACAAUUAGUUAUCUUUAUCAGCGUUGAACUGAGUAUACAAACAUCAAUAUGCCAGCAAAAGCUGGCAUAUUGAGGAGUGGGGUGGCAGCAGAGAACCCCCUCCCUCGGGUCCCAGACAGCCAACCCCAUGUGCACAUCUCAAGUUCUGGGUUAGACAAUACAGAUAGAUGGCCCCUAAGGUACUUGGCAUCCAAGCCAUUUAUGGCUUUAAAAAGCAAAGUUAUUUGAAGGUAAUAAGGGAAGUGUUGACACACAGAUGUGCUGAGGGGGAUAAGAAGCAGCAAGAGAGGAAGGGGGAUAGUCAAGUGAAACAAGUGAUCCUCAAACAGUUGAACUUGUGGAGCUGGAGAGGUGAUGGUCACAGUUAGGGAUGUAAUGGACCAUUAAAGUCCAUGGAGAACUUUAAAUACAAGGAUUCUGAGUAUGUUAAACUGAUUUUACUGUGGGGGCAGAGAGUGCCCUCAAGUCAGAGUUGACUUAUGGCGAACCCUGCUGGGAUUUUCAUGGAUUUUCAGAAGUGGUUGCCAUUGCUUGCUUCUGCAACCCUUGUCUUUGCUGGAAUCCUCCUAUCCAAUUACUAACCAAGGCUGACCCUCCUUAGCUUCUGAGAUCUGAUGAGAUCAGGUUCACCUGGGCUAUCUAGGUCAGGGUGAUUUUAAUGUAAACAUCUCUACAAAUAAAUAUUUAAGUAUUUGCUUGUAAGCAAUGAUCUGAAUUGCAGACCUGUCACUAAUCCAUAGUUUUUAUUAAUAUUUUUUAGUUCCACUAGUCAAAGUGCAGCAUCAAAGCUGACUUAAAAGUUAUAUUUCAUGUAUUUGUCAGUGUAAUAUCUAAGGGAUAUUAGGAAUGAUUUAGAAUGUGUGAAGACUUUUUAAAAAUUAAAAUAUGUUUUGAAUAAGCAUAAAAGGCAGUAAACAAAUCACAAAACCUUAUUAUAAUCAGGAAUAUGAUUAAUCUAUUAAAUAUAACAACAACAUAUACCACCCUUCAGGACAACUUAACAUUCACUCAAAGUGGUUUACAAAAUAUGUUAUUAUCCCCACAACAAUCACCCUGUGAGAUGGGUGGGGCUGAGAGAGCUCCAAGAAGCUGUGACUGACCCAAGGCCACCCAGCUGGCUUUAAGCGGAGAAGUGGGAAAUCAAACCCAGUUCUCCAGAUUAGAGUCCUGCCACUCUUAACCAUUACACCAAACUGGCUCUCCACACCAAACUAGCUUUGCUUUUACUUUAAUUUAUAAGCCACUUAAGCAGUCACAAAUGGAUUCAAAUCAGCUAAUAAAAAGGCCAGCUUUAUCUGUGAUUGCCUGCUUUGUGAUCUCUUUCUUUUACAUCACUUUUCAUCAUGGGACAAAACAUAUAACUUGUUGUAUCCAGUGCACAGUGAAAUAACUCCUUAGUAACAGGCACUUGAGUGGCUUUUAUAACUCUUCAGUUACAAUAAAUGUGAAUCCUUUUUAUGAACUGUCUGUGAAUAUUUCAUUUUUAAAGCGUUUUAGAUGCAGUGAUGGAAUUUAUGAAGGUUUCAUGUGUCUGGGUAUGCCUCAUGAAAUCACAAAAAAUUAUGGUUUUCUUUUCAGAAGCAAUUAUUUGACAUUGUUAUUUCCACCCAUAGGCUCUUGCUUGUGUAACAGUGCUUGCUUACACAUCUUUCUCAGGUGGCUGGUAUAAAAACAGUUGGGUGAUAUUUCCUAGCAAUUACAGUGUGAAUGUGGUCAUUUGUAACAGUUUUGAUCAAGAAUAAGUUGUUUCCUUUUAAUAUUUACUAAUAAACAGAUUUUUUUUAAAGUAAAUUAUUUUUCGCUCAUAUCAAGUAUGUCUUGGACUAUGAAGUGUUGUUUCUGAAACACUAAAAAACCAAGACCAUAGAGGGGGGCAUGCUGGAUACAUCUUUUUCAUAGAUCCUUCAGAAUCAAGCAAUAUUUGCAGAAAAAUAAUGGUCAUAGUAUUUCUUCUUUUUGGCACGUCUUCUUGCUGUAAGCAUGGCUAGUUGUUGAAGAUGAAACAAGCUGUCCAUCCAUAAGGAAGAAUUGUUGACUAAGGCAAUUUACAGCUCACAAUGGGAUUUUGAGAGCCAAGCUAACUGAGAAAUUGCCAUGAAAGAUCCAGAGUGAUCCAACUUCCAGUGUGGGAAUAUAAGCCUGUUCCCAGAAGAUAUAACUUGAAGUUCAUCAACGGUCUUCCUGUGCAGUCCCACAUGGGACUGUGCACGCGCAGACCUGCCGAUCUCGGACAUUUUUACAGCUCUGAGCCACUAGGGGGCGCCCCCGCCGCUCAUUGCGCAUGCGCGGCCGCUUUUCCCGCCGAAAACGGCUCCUAAGAGGCGGGGCGCCCCCGACGUACCCUUCAGUUCCUCUUUUGUCGCCGACUGAAGAGGUUCUUCUGGCUCUGUUGAAAGUGUUUUUUGUUACGAAGAUGUCGGACAAGGCCUUAUUCAAGAGGUGUUCGACUUGUGACCGAAAAAUGACCAAGUCGGAUGGUCAUGCUGAGUGCCUGUACUGCCUGGGAGAAACACAAUCCACAGGCUUGUAAGUACUGCUGCACCUUCACUUCGAAGGCCAGGGCAGAACGUUUGGGGAGGCUCCAGGCUUAUUUGUGGCAUCGAGCUAUGGCGGUGACCAACACUGUUUCAAAGGGCAAGUCGCCAGCGGCAAAAAAAUCAUCCACUCCGGCUUCGAAGUCGUCGGAGAAAUCUCCACGCUCCCGCCAAUCCCCGGCUUCCACUGUUUCCAGGCCUCCGAGCCCGACGCGUGUGGUUCGGAGCCCUUCGACUCUUGACGGUUCCCGCCCCGUCGGAUCCGACGUUGGAGUCGAGACCUGCUGUGGAACCGGCUGGUUCCAGCACUGAAGUCUCCCUCAGGAAGGAGUGUCUUACUGCUCCUUCGGAACCGAUGACUCCUUGAAGUGGAUCGGUGUUGGAACGUAUACCUUUGGAUCCGAUCCCUCCCUCUUCCUCAGACAAGAAGAAGAAGAGGAAGAGAAAGCACACGUCCAAGUCCGACAGACAGGUGCUGGAAAGUGUAAUUACCCCACAAUCUGAGGGUACGCACCAACCCGACAUUUCUCCGAAAAAUCGAGUCGUCGGAUCCGGGGAUGCUUCUUCUCCGCGGAGAACCCCUGCGUCCCGUAGAUCCCGUGAGUCUGACGUCAUUAUGCUGGAUAGAUCAUUAACCCCGUCCGGGGUCCACCGUUCACCUUCCCGUGACUCCUGGUCUUCACGUUCUUCUAGGGGCCGUCCAUCUCAUUGUUCGGACAGGUAUAGCCCGUAUUCGUACAGACGUCGAUACAGGGAAACCUCUUAUGGUUCCGAGUCUCAUCGGAGUCGACGCUCCCGCUCUCCUUCGUUCCAGGAGGUGUCCAUGGAGGGUUUCAAUCGAUCCCCGAUUCCUUCUGAUGUGGAAUAUGAUGAGCACCUCACUGCUGCUAGGUCCUACGAUUCUCCACCCUCUGAUUCUCCUGACCAGGCGAUUGGCCCUUCGGAGGAAGCAUCUCCCACGGAGGACUUUCGUGCCUACAGUGAGUUACUUCAGAGGAUGGCUAAGGCCCUUGAGAUAGACGUGGUCUCCUCGGAACCACGCUCCAAGGAUAAGAUCCUAAAACACAUGUACUCCGGGUCCACGCCGACCAUUGCCUUCCCCAUGAUUGAAGGCUUCGUUGAGCUCCUGGAUGGUCUCAAUUUGAAACCAGCUUCUACCCCUGCAACUAAUAAGAAGGUUGAGAACUUGUAUCGAGUGAAGGAUGAGCAUUGUCAGUUCUUGUCCCUUCACCUACCUCCUUCUUCCCUUGUUACUGAGGAUAUGCAAGCGAAGCCUAAACAGGGGUCUCUGUCGGUGCCUUCUGACAAGGACAGUAGAAAAAUUGAUUCCCUAGCUAGGAAGGUCUACGCUUUUUCGGCCUUUGGCAUUAAAAUUGCUAACUUUGCAGCCAUGAUGUCCACUUAUCAGCUACUUCUAUGGACAAAGGUGGCCACCUUUGUCCCUCAACUUACUGAGGACCAAAGAAUCUUCCUCAGAGCGAUACAGGAGGAAGCUGUCCGGUUAUCGAGACACCAGAUUACUGUCAGUAGGAACAUGGCGGAUACCUCUGCCAGAGCUCUCCUUUCUGCUCUAGUCUUGAGAAGGUUCGCGUGGCUUAGAACAACAGCUCUACCUCCCGAAACACGAUCCAAGGUGGAAGAUCUCCCGUUUGACGGGCAACAUUUGUUUUCUGACAAGACGGAUGAAUACUUGUCCAAAAAACGUAAGGAUAGGCUGACGGUCCAUUCCUACGGAGUGUGUCACCAACAACAGUCUGGUCGCCCGCAAUACAAGCCCUACUCUAGGUAUCGGCAGCAACGUUAUCAUCCGUAUUAUGCUUACGGCUCCCAACAGCAGCGUCCGUAUCAGACCCCACAGCCCUCUUUCCAGAGGAGGAGGCAAGGUGUCAAGAACAGGCAUAACAAUAAUCAACAUCAGCCCAAGGACUCUGGGCAGACUCAGAAACAGUUUUGACAGUUACAGGGCCCUGAUCCUCAUUUUGGGGACAGGCUAGCUGUCUUUUUUGCUGAAUGGUGUACGAUUACAUCGGAUGCUUGGGUUUUGGAUAUAGUUAAAAAUGGUUAUAAAAUUGAGUUUGUUCAGUGGCCCGGUCUCUCGUGCCCUAAUUUUUAGUCUCAGUCCCCACAACCUGGAGUGGUUUCGGAGCUGUCUGCUUUAUUAACUAAGGGGGCUAUUGAAGAAGUGUCUCCUUCUUCUCAUCCCCUAGGUUUCUACUCUAACCUUUUUGUGGUCGAGAAGAAGGAUGGCGGUCUUCGCCCCAUCCUGGAUCUCCGAAAGCUGAAUAGGUCCAUCAGGGUUCAGAAAUUUAAGAUGACCACAUUGCAGUUAGUGUUGUCUCUUCUGCCCCCCAAUUCUUGGUUUGGAGUAUUGGAUCUCAAAGAUGCCUACUUCCAUAUCUCUCUUUUUCCUGAAUAUAGGAAAUUCCUCCGUUUUACCUACGGUUCCAGGGUUUUGCAGUACCAUGUUCUCCCCUUCGGGUUAUCUACAGCCCCUAGGGUGUUUACUAAGUGUGUGGCAUUAGUAAUAGCCUUCCUUAGGACACAGGGCUGCUGCAUUUUUCCGUACCUUGAUGACUGGCUCUUAGUUGGCCAUUCGGAGGAUGAUGUUUCCUCUCAAAUCUCGAUCACAUUGGCUACCUGCCUGAGGCUGGGCCUCUUUGUGAAUCAAAAGAAAUCCAAACUCACCCCGACUAGGGUCAUCCAAUUUAUAGGGGCUGUCCUUGAUGGUGAUCGAAACUUUGGUUUCCUACCCCAGGAGAGGGCUCUUAAGAUUAAGGCCCUUGUCAGAAAGUUUAAGAGGUGUAGGUUCCAACCUGCCAGACUUAUCCAAGUUUUGUUAGGAUAUAUGGCCUCUUGCGCAACUGUGGUUUCUCUAGCUAGGCCACGUAUGAGGCCACUUCAGCUUUGGUUUUCAAAGGCCUUUCGCCCUGAAAGGGACUCCCAACGAAAGAAAUUGAGUGUUCCCCGUAAGGUCCUUUCCUCUCUAGAUUGGUGGUUGCAGGACCUUAACCUUUUGGGGAGGGGUGGCCUUUGGGUACAGACAGCCUGAUAUUACAGUCACUACUGACGCCUCUAAUUUGGGAUGGGGCGCUCACUGCCAGGGACUUUUCACCCAUGGUUUGUGGGAUGAGUCUGAGGGUGAAGAGCAUAUUAAUCUUCUUGAGUUACGGGCAGUUUAUUAUGCGUUACUGGCCUUUUCAGAUCUGGUUUGCAAUAAGACAGUACAAAUCUUGACAGAUAAUACCACGACUAUGUUUUAUUUGAAUAAACAGGGAGGCACGUUGUCUAACGUGUUAUGUACAGAGGCUUUAAAAAUUUGGACUUGGGCCAUUGACCAUUUGGUCUGGCUGAUAGCUGUUCAUAUUCCGGGCAUGGACAAUGUCACAGCUGACCGCCUUAGCAGGUUGGAGGGGGACACUCAUGAGUGGUCUCUUCACGACAAACAUUUACGUCCUGUCUUUACAGAGUGGGGUGCCCCAGAACUAGACCUCUUCGCUUCAGAAGAGAACUGCAAGACUCCCCAGUACUAUUCCAGAGGAGGCGUCGGCCUCGAGUCUCUUGGGGACGCGUUUCAGUUAACUUGGUCAGGCCCCCUUUUCUACAUAUUUCCCCCAUUUCCCUUGUUAACCAGGGUAGUUUCCAAGAUACAGGUGGACAAGACGUCGGCCAUUUUAGUUACCCCAUAUUGGCCGAGACAACCGUGGUUCCAUGCCAUUCUGAGACUUCACAAGGGGAUGUAUCGGUUCCCGGAUCGUCCGGAUCUCCUGUCGUUUCGAGGGGUCCUACAUCACAGAGUACAUUCACUCAAACUGACGGCGUGGCUGAUUCUUCAGAACGAGGAUUUUCCACGGCUGUGAUGCAUGUCCUCCAAAAUGCCCGUCAUCUUUCAACUCAACAGUCAUAUUCCCUGAAAUUGAAUAAAUUUUCUGACUGAUGCAGAGACAUAGAGGUUGAUCCUGUUUUUUCCUCCCUCUCUGAGAUUCUGGAAUUUUUGUGGGGUCUUAAGCAGUCUGGCUUAGCUAAUUCUUCUGUUAAGGUGUAUUUGGCUGCUAUCUCAGCCUUUCACCCUCCUAUCAAUAAAAAGACUGGUUUUUCCCAUUACACGUCUAAAUUAUUUUUGAAAGGGCUCAAUAAUUUGUUUCCUUCGGUUCGUGUGUUAGUUCCGCAGUGGUCCCUACCCCUGGUGUUGACAAGACUCCUUUCCAAACCAUUUGAGCCUUUGGCUACAUGCCCUCUGGGUCUACUUUCCUUUAAGGUAGUCUUUUUGGUUGCUAUCACCUCUGCCAGGAGGGUGGGUGAGCUGGCGGCUCUAUGUUGUGACCCUCCUUACUUAAGUAUUCACCCAGAUAAGGUAGUCCUUUAGACUAAGAUUGAGUUUUUGCCCAAAGUGGUAUCAAAAUUUCAUUUGGCGCAGGAAAUUGUUUUGCCUGUAUUUUUUAAGGAUUUUUCCCCCGAAGCGGAGCGAUCCCUUCAUACCUUGGAUGUGCGGAGGGCUCUCCUUUUUUAUUUGGAUAGGAUAAAGCCUUUCCAGAGGGACUCUCAUCUUUUUGUUUGUUUUGCGGGCCCCAGGAAGGGUAUGAGAGCUAAUUCUCAAACUUUGGCCCGUUGGGUAGUGCAAGCUAUUUCAUUGAGUUACAAAUGUGCUAACUUACCUUGUCCGUUGGAGAUACAUGCUCACUCCACUAGGUCUCAAGCAUCUUCGGCUGCCCUGCUCAGAGGGGUCCCGAUGCAGGAUAUCUGUAAAGCGGUGAUGUGGGCGUCUGCGGAUACGUUUGUGAGGCAUUACGCUUUGGACGUCCUGGAUAGGAAGGAGACAGCAGUUGGAACAGCUGUGCUGCAAUCAAUCUUCCUGUCCUGAUGUGCCUCUGCCUACCACCCAGUCGGCGGCAAAAGAGGAUCCGAGGGUACGUCGGGGGCACCCGCCUCUUAGGAGCCGUUUUCGGCGGGAAAAGCGGCCACGCAUGCGCAGUGAGCGGCGGGGGCACCCCCUAGUGGCUCAGAGCUGUAAAAAUCUCCGAGAUCGGCAGGCCUGCGCGUGCGCAGUCCCAUGUGUUACUGCACGGAAGACCUAGAUGAACAACAGUUACAGGCCCUAGCAAAGAAAGCAAGAGAUGGAAAAUUGCUACCAGAAGAAUACCAAGGAGGGUCUUUCAGCAUUUCAAAUCUUGGCAUGUUUGGCAUUAGCAGCUUCAUUGCAGUUAUAAACCCUCCUCAAGCCUGUAUCUUAGCUGUGGGGCGCACUCG